Molecule: ribosomal RNA, 273 nt
Filed under: Triticum aestivum (bread wheat)
Lineage: Eukaryota; Viridiplantae; Streptophyta; Magnoliopsida; Poales; Poaceae
Description: partial small subunit ribosomal RNA
Source: RNAcentral
AUGUUGACGUCGAGCUGUGGGCGUUCCGGUCGCCGAGCUUGCCCGUGCAGCCCAAGUUGCCCGACCAAGACAAGCAGCGGAGACUCGACGGACUCCAGGGUCACCCUGACGGCGCCCUCGGCCUUCUCCUUCUCUUCCAAGUACAGCACCAUGACGCAACAAACGUUCACCACGCCGAGGAAGGAAAGGAGCGUGCGCCGGCGCCGCGGCCGGUCCAUGAGACCAAGAGGAAGGCAUCGGCGCGACAAGACAACCUCGCGGAUGCGCACAUGA